Molecule: regulatory RNA element, 46 nt
Organism: Caenorhabditis briggsae
Lineage: Eukaryota; Metazoa; Nematoda; Chromadorea; Rhabditida; Rhabditidae
Rfam family: Histone 3' UTR stem-loop
About the family: The mRNAs of metazoan histone genes lack a poly-A tail. 3' end processing occurs at a site between a highly conserved stem-loop (modelled by this family) and a purine rich region around 20 nts downstream (the histone downstream element, or HDE).
Source: Rfam
CCAACGGCCCUCUUUAGGGCCACAAACGUUCACUAAUCCAUCUUCU